Non-coding RNA from Phascolarctos cinereus (koala), 1431 nucleotides. The record is from RefSeq and is a predicted model, not a curated record. NCBI's taxonomy places the organism in Eukaryota, Metazoa, Chordata, Mammalia, Diprotodontia, Phascolarctidae.
CUUAUCUAGACUUCAUCCUGGACCACCUUUGUUGCUUGUAUCACAGUUUCCACCUUGUUUCUUCCCUCUUAUCAGCCUCUGCCAUGACCUAGUGCUUAGAAAAACAAAAUUCUCCCCAACUCUUUCCAUGGCCAGUACCACUUGGGAAAAAAAAGAGUAUUGCUUCCUAAAGAUUUCUUUGUCCAGUUAUCACAACUCUGUGGCAGCUAUUAGGAGACAGUGAAAAAGAGCCAUCCCACCCCGCCUCUGGCCUCAGAGGACCUGUGUUCAACUGCUGCUUGUGACAACUACUAUCUGUGUGAUUUCAAGUAUGCCAAGUAAUCCUUCUGAGCCUGAUUUCCUUGUAUAUACAAUAAAGGGUGGCCUCUGAAUUCCUAUUCAGUUUUAGAUCUAGGAUUCUAUGAUCUUUGCAAAUGGGUUAAUAGCAGGGUCCAGCUACAUCGGUUUAUGGGAAAAAACAGCACCUGUCUUACCCUGACACACUGGUGUGUGUCCUCUGCAGAAAGACGAAACCUCACAAAAUCUCUGUGCACUGAGAAUAUUUACAUUUCAUCCUUGAGCCAAAGUGGGGCAGGUCUAGGGUAAGCUGUACAGCUGUAGCAAAAGGCCAUGAGCCCAUAAGUAAUGGACACACACAGCAUAAUUGGCAGGGCUUACGCCUACCAUUAGCUGCUCCUGGUGGGAGGAGGGGGCCCUCGCCAGUUAUGCAAAGCUAGAGCCCACAUGGUCCUGGAUAAACCUUACACUUCUUUUGGAUUAGGAGAAGGGAAAGCAAGCUUCACUCAUGCGGUGUCCUUUCUGAUUUCAUUUUGAACUAUAAGCAGCCCGUGUUGAGGGAAUAGCCUGAUUUAAAAAAAAAAAAGUCUUUCGUGGAUGAGAACAAAGCAGAGGAAGGAACAUUUACUAAGCCUCAUGCAAGCCGCUGUCGGGGUACACAAAAGCAGUCCAAGACUCUUUGCUUUCUGGGUGUUUCCAAGAAAAUUAGAGAGCCUGAUUGGCAUGGGAGGGGUGACAUGCAACGUGCAGGAAGAACAGAAUCAACUGGGCCAAUGGUGUGCAAAGUAAGGGGAAGAUUCAGGCUGGGCUCGGUUAGUCAGGAAAAUCAUCCAGGAGCAGAGGAAUCUGCUGAGCCGGGUCUUAAGGCAGGAGUUUGGGGAUGCUACUGAGCACAGUCCGGGCUUUGUCUUUGGUUCACAAAUAUAUACCCUGGCAUGGGAAUUUACCUGGGACCCCAGGGAGGAGCACUGACAGCUCUGCAUCGACCCACACUCCCAAAACAUUGAUCAAGCUGUUACGGUGGAUGAGGAAACCGAGGCACAGAGAAGUAAAAGGACUUGCUCAACCUCUGCCCAGUGAACUGAGAAUCAAAGGAAAGAAACAAGCAUUUAUUAACUGCCUACUAUAUGCUAAACUCUUUACAAAUAUCUCAUU